GGAUAACAACGGGAAACCGUUGCUAAUACCGCGUACGAUUCAUGAACGGCAUCGUUUAUGAAUGAAAGGUGGCCCCUAUGUAUAAGCUAUCGCUGAAGGAGGGGAUUGCGUCUGAUUAGCUAGUUGGAGGGGUAACGGCCCACCAAGGCAAUGAUCAGUAGCCGGUCUGAGAGGAUGAACGGCCACAUUGGGACUGAGACACGGCCCAA
RNAcentral lists this ribosomal RNA (209 nucleotides) under uncultured Veillonellaceae bacterium. RNAcentral describes it as "partial 16S ribosomal RNA". It matches the Rfam family "Bacterial small subunit ribosomal RNA", at positions 141 to 334 of the family's 1533-position model. The record is from RNAcentral. Lineage: Bacteria; Bacillati; Bacillota; Negativicutes; Veillonellales; Veillonellaceae.